GAAUUGACGGGGGCCCGCACAAGCAGUGGAGCAUGUGGUUUAAUUCGAAGCAACGCGAAGAACCUUACCAGGGCUUGACAUCCCUCUGACCGGUGUAGAGAUACACCUUCCCUUCGGGGCAGGGGAGACAGGUGGUGCAUGGUUGUCGUCAGCUCGUGUCGUGAGAUGUUGGGUUAAGUCCCGCAACGAGCGCAACCCUUGUCGUUAGUUGCCAGCACUUUGGGUGGGCACUCUAACGAGACUGCCGGUGACAAAUCGGAGGAAGGUGGGGAUGACGUCAAAUCAUCAUGCCCCUUAUGUCCUGGGCUACACACGUGCUACAAUGGCGACUACAGAGGGAAGCAAAGCCGCGAGGUGGAGCAAAUCCCCAAAAGUCGUCCCAGUUCGGAUUGCAGGCUGCAACUCGCCUGCAUGAAGUCGGAAUUGCUAGUAAUGGCAGGUCAGCAUACUGCCGUGAAUACGUUCCCGGGCCUUGUACACACCG
This 484-nucleotide ribosomal RNA is filed under the name uncultured Clostridium sp. RNAcentral's name for it is "bacterial SSU rRNA". It matches the Rfam family "Bacterial small subunit ribosomal RNA", at positions 907 to 1392 of the family's 1533-position model. Lineage: Bacteria; Bacillati; Bacillota; Clostridia; Eubacteriales; Clostridiaceae. The record is from RNAcentral.